AGCGAACGCUGGCGGCAGGCUUAACACAUGCAAGUCGAGCGGACCUUUCGGGGUCAGCGGCGGACGGGUGAGUAACGCGUGGGAACGUGCCUUCCGGUUCGGAAUAACUCUGGGAAACUAGGGCUAAUACCGGAUACGCCCUUAUGGGGAAAGGUUUACUGCCGGAAGAUCGGCCCGCGUCUGAUUCGCUAGUUGGUGGGGUAACGGCCUACCAAGGCGACGAUCAGUAGCUGGUCUGAGAGGAUGCUCAGCCACACUGGGACUGAGACACGGCCCAGACUCCUACGGGAGGCAGCAGUGGGGAAUAGUGGACAAUGGGCGCAAGCCUGAUCCAGCCAUGCCGCGUGAGUGAUGAAGGCCUUAGGGUUGUAAAGCUCUUUUAUCCGGGACGAUAAUGACGGUACCGGAGGAAUAAGCCCCGGCUAACUUCGUG
Molecule: ribosomal RNA, 433 nt
Filed under: uncultured bacterium
Lineage: Bacteria
Description: partial 16S ribosomal RNA
Rfam family: Bacterial small subunit ribosomal RNA
Source: RNAcentral